CAGGCCACUCAGGAUACCAUAAAACUCUAUCUCGAGCUAGAGCUAAUUUUUAUUAGAUGGGCAUGAAGGCUGACAUUAAGAAUUUCAUUAAAGAGUGAUAUUUGCCAAUGCAACAAAAAUGAGACCAUCCACCCCGCAGGUCUUCUCCAACCUUUGCCUAUUCCUACAAAGGUAUGGGCGGAUAUCUCCCUAGAUUUUAUUGAGGGGUUGCCUCUUUGUAAUGGGUUCAAUGUGAUUUUGGUUGUGGUUGAUAGAUUGAGUAAGUAUGCGCAUUUCAUCUCAGUUGCGCAUCCUUAUACAACCACCAAAAUUGCACAGAUUUUUAUUGCCAAUAUUUUUAAACUGCAUGGAAUGCCUACAUCCAUAGUCAGUGACUGAGACCUUAUGUUCACUAGCUUAUUUUGGAAAGAGUUGUUCAAAUUACAUGGGAUUGAGCUCAAAUUUUCGUCGGCUUAUCAUCCCCAAACGGAUGGUCAAAUAGAGAUUGUGAAUAAAUGUGUGGAGCAGUAUUUACGGUGUUUUUCUGGGGAUAAGCCUAAGGAGUGGUCACGCUGGUUGCCUCUUGCAGAAUGGUGGUAUAAUACAAACAUUCAUGCUUCUACUAAACUUUCACCAUUUGAGGUAGUUUACGGAUACCCACUCCUACCUUUGUUGGCUCAUUCGCCAGGGACAGCUGCAGUUCAGUUUGUGGAAGAUACCCUGAGGAGCCGUGAUCAUAUCUUGCGCCUAUUACGUGGAAACCCACAGGUGGCCCAAGAGAGGAUGAAGCGUUUUGCAGAUUUAAAACAUACUGAACGACAUUUUGAAGUGGGAGAUUGGGUCUACCUUCGUCUCCAACCAUAUAAAUAACAUUCGGUUAUGCAGCGUAAAAAUCUCAAGCUUUCUCCCAGAUUUUAUGGACCCUAUCAGAUAGAAGAGCGGAUUGGUGGUGUUGCUUAUCGUUUGAACCUUCCCUCCACCUCCCUCUUUCAUCCCGUGUUUCAUGUUUCAGUUUUGAAGAAGAAGCUUGGUGCUUGAAAUUUGCUGGUGACUACUAUUCCUCCAUUAACUGUUGGAGGUGGUCCACAAGCUGAGCCUGAAGAAAUCUUGCAGCGACACCUAAAAAAGAAGAAUGGACACGCUGUCAGUGAGCUGUUGGUUAAAUGGAAGGGGCUGGAGGUCGAUGACGCCUCCUGGGUUGAAUUUCAUAAGCUGCAAAAAGACUUCCCUGACCUUGAGGGCAAGGUCUUCUGAUGGAGGAGGGAUUGUCAUGGGUCUAUUAAGAUGUGGCCUUGGGUGAUAUGGACAAGGGUCUUGGAAACAUGGGGUUGCUAUGUAGUUAAUUAUUUGGUUGUUACGUUAGAAUGUUUUAUGCAGUCAUUAUUAAUUUGGGGUUGUUAAUUUGACCUGAUCGUGGGUCUUGAGAAAAUAGGACUGUUAUGUAGUAAUUAAUUGGAAGUUAUGUUGAAGUCCGUUAUAGAGUAGUAUUAAUUAUGGGUUGUUAAUUGUUGCUUAAUUUCAGUAAUUGUUUUGCUAUUUAAGUUGCAAGAUUUAAUAAGAAUGCAAGCAGAAUUUUAUCUAUACAUAGUACUGGGAGGACUUAGCCUCCUCAGAAUGGCUAUUCAAUUAUCCUUUACUGAUUAGUUUAUUAGACUUUGGUGAGGUGCCUUUAGAUGAGGGAUUGAGCAUUCCUCUGUUAAGAUUGAAGAAAUUGUAGGCUCUUUUGAGAAUAUUACUGUUAACGUUUCUAGUCGAGGCACUGAUGUUGAGAGGUUAGAUACAGCAAUUGCCAAGGGUAAGUUAUUGUAAUGUCAAGUUUUUGACCUUUCUAAUUUACAAAUUUAACAUUAUUCCAUCUAUUAUGCAUUUCAAUAAAGGAUUCACAUAAAGAUGGAGCACGUAAGCUUACAACAACAAUUGGCAGACAAUUUAAGGAUUCCCUUAUGCUUGUAGUUUUGAAGAAAGGACUCCAGCAGUGUUGAGAGGAGUCCACGUGACAAUGUUGUGGAGUUGAAAGCUUUUGAAAUGUUAUCAGUUAUACUUGGAGAUUCUCACAAGUUAUGAAAAUCUCAAGGGUCUUAUGUUGCUCUGGGUCACCACCUUCACUAGAAUAUGGGUGGAUAGUGCUGCUAACUCAGAGGUUGGUUAUGUUCCAUAGAUAUGGCGGAUUUGUUGUGUGAGCUUAUGUUCAGUUGUUGAAGCGCCUCCAUGUUUGCUUGAUUGAAAAUAAAAAUAGUACCAUUUUCUUGUCAUGUAUAGGAUAUACAAUCUGUUAGCUUUUGUGUUUUAGUUAGAUAUGCCCUAUAGAAUCUAGGUAAUGCAGAUGCAAACUUUAAUCCUGUAGUUCUUUGAGUCCUUCAGGAUUUGUAAAAUGUUUCCCUUGGUCAA
Molecule: long non-coding RNA, 2367 nt
Organism: Populus nigra (black poplar)
Lineage: Eukaryota; Viridiplantae; Streptophyta; Magnoliopsida; Malpighiales; Salicaceae
Exons: 2
Source: RefSeq, a predicted model, not a curated record